Molecule: long non-coding RNA, 1213 nt
Filed under: Homo sapiens (human)
Lineage: Eukaryota; Metazoa; Chordata; Mammalia; Primates; Hominidae
Description: novel transcript
Source: RNAcentral
GUGGUGCGCGCCUGCAGUCCCAGCUACCCCGGAGGCCGACGCGGGAGGAUCGCUGGAGCCGAAAGGUCGAGGCUGCCGUGAGCCGAGGUUGCACCACUGCACUCCAGCCUGGGCGACAGCGCAAGACCCUGUCUAAAAAUAAAUUUAAAAAAAAUUGCGAGGCCUUCAUUCUAUGCUAGUACUGUACUAGGUGCUAAUUAUUAAGUAAAACCGACUGAACUCUUGCCCUCAUGGAGCUUACAGUUCAGUGGAGAAGACAUUACCUAAAGCAGUAUGACUAAAUAUAUAAUGACAUAUUGUAAUAACUUACAUAACAGUACAAUGAGAGGGUGGGGAGGGAUUAUUUAUGCUUUAAGAAGUCGGGAAUCCUGGAACGGAAUGACAUUAGACUGAGACACGGAAGAGCCGCAGGAUCUAUUGCUGGGGAAGAGCAUUCCAGACAGGGAGGAACUCGUGCCGAAUGAUCCCGCUGUGGACAGGGAAUUUAAUCUGAGCUUCGGUUUCCUCUUCUGUCAAAUGUCAUGCAAGAGUUACUUUCAGCCGUGGUCCAGGCACUGUGAAAAAUGCAGAAGCCACACUAGGUGCCCUCUCUCAGGAUUCCCAACCACCUUUACCAAGCAGAGAUGGUAUUCAUCCCACAUUUUUAAUGCUAGAUAUGCUCCCGCCCGGUGCUUCUCUAAUAAUGUUUUUUAAAAGCCGAAGCUGGACUGUACUGCUGCCAUCUCGGCUCACUGCAACCCCCCUGCCUGAUUCUCCUGCCUCAGCCUGCCGAGCGCCUGCGAUUGCAGGCACGCACCGCCACGCCUGACUGGUUUUUGUAUUUUUUUGGUGGAGACGGGGUUUCGCUCUGUUGGCCGGGCUGGUCUCCAGCUCCUAGCCGCGAGUGAUCCGCCAGCCUCGGCCUCCCGAGGUGCCGGGAUUGCAGACGGAGUCUCGUUCACUCAGUGCUCAAUGGUGCCCAGGCUGGAGUGCAGUGGCGUGAUCUCGGCUCGCUACAACCACCUCCCAGCCGCCUGCCUUGGCCUCCCAAAGAGCCGAGAUUGCAGCCUCUGCCCGGCCACCACCCCGUCUGGGAAGUGAGGAGCGUCUCUGCUUGGCCGCCCAUCGUCUGCGAUGUGAGGAGCCCCUCUGCCUGGCUGCCCAGUCUGGAAAGUGAGGAGCAUCUCUGCCCGGCCACCAUCCCAUCUAGGAAGUGAGGAGCGCCUCUUCCCCG